RNAcentral lists this long non-coding RNA (1419 nucleotides) under Malus domestica (apple). The record is from RNAcentral. Lineage: Eukaryota; Viridiplantae; Streptophyta; Magnoliopsida; Rosales; Rosaceae.
CUGGACAAUAAUACUAAAUGACAAAUAUUGUGUUACCAUGUUUGGUUACAAUAUUUAAAGAGAAUGGAUCGGGGGACCAUACCCUAAGUAAGUAAUUAGAAAUUAAUACAAAAUCUUGAAACAUAUACGCUAUUUAUUAAACACGGAUUGUUAUGAGUAGUAAUACAAAAAAUAUUUAAAAAAUUGAAAAAAAAAAAAGUUCCACUGAUAAAAGUAAUGGGCACUAUAAGCAGUAAGUUUCUGAUAAGGCUGAUCAGUUGGCACUAACACACAUCUCUUGUUAUGUAUUGAAUUACAUGAAGUUAUCUCUAACAAAUAAUCUUCAACUAUAUAAAUCAAGUAAAACAAACAAAAGUAUUACCUAACCACUCUCAAAUCAAGAAAAAGACAAUGACUAACAUAAUUGGUGUCAACGUAGCAGAAGUAAAUGCGUGUGACCGUCACGUGCAAAUUACGUAUUUCAAAUCCGACGUUUGCCUUUUUAAAAUUGGCACUUUGGACACUUUCGAAUGUAAUAAAAGUUUUUCUACUAACUUUAAAUUUUGUGGUAGUUUUCUACACUUGGUUGAAGGUGAUUUCAAGUUUAAUUUACAUCAUGACAAAACAGUGAGGGCGUGGUCGGGGCCUAAAGUGGACAAUAUCAUGCUCUGACGGAGCAAGACUGGGAUGUGACAAAAUGGUAUCAGAGCCACUAUGCCAUGUGGUGCGAAUGUGCCGACGAGGACGUCGGGCCCCUAAGGGGGUGGAUUGUAACAUCCCACAUCGACCAACGGAGAUGGGAUGAUGUGCCUUAUAUGUACAUGCCCACCUCUAUAUAACACGAGGCCUUUUGAGAACUCACUGGUUUUAGAUUCCAUCAGAACUCCGAAGUUAAGCAAGUUUGGGCAAGAGCAAUCCCAGGAUGGGUGACCUACUGAGAAGUUGCUCAUGAGUUCCCAGAAAUAAAACUGUGAGGGUGUGGCCCAAAGUGGACAAUAUCAUGCUACGACGGAGCAGGUCUGUGAUAUGAUAAGUACUGUGUUUUUUUUUUUUUGGAAUAAACGAUAUUAUCUAUAUUAAAUGAGAGAUGAUGUGCUUAAUCUUACAAUGAGCUAACAAUAAUGUGGUUGAAAUUUACCUUUGACGAGAAUCAAAUCUAGGACAUCUUACUUACAAGUAAAGAGGAAUACUACUGGACAAUAAUACUAAAUGACAAAUACUGUGUUACCAAUUUUUGUUACAAUAUUUAAAGAGAAUGGAUAGGGGGACCGUACCGUAAGUAAGUAAUUAGAAAUUAAUACAAAAUCUUGAAACAUAUACCCUAUUUAUUAAACACGGAUUGUUAUGAGUAGUAAUACAAAAAAUAUUUAAAAAAUUGAAAGAAAAAAAGUUCCACUGAUAAAAGUAAUGGGCACUAUAAGCAGUAAGUUUCUGAUAAGG